UAGCCGUAAACGAUACUCGCUAGGUGUCGGCCACGGUGCGACCGUUGUCGGUGCCGUAGGGAAGCCGUGAAGCGAGCCACCUGGGAAGUACGGCCGCAAGGCUGAAACUUAAAGGAAUUGGCGGGGGAGCACCACAACGGGUGGGAGCUUUGCGGUUUAAAUUGGAUUCAACGCCGGAAAUCUUACCGGGACCGACAGCAACAUGAAGGCCAGGCUGAAGACUUUGCCGGAUUAGCUGAGAGGUGGUGCAUGGCGUAGUCGUGU
Molecule: ribosomal RNA, 264 nt
Filed under: uncultured archaeon
Lineage: Archaea
Description: partial 16S ribosomal RNA
Rfam family: Archaeal small subunit ribosomal RNA
Source: RNAcentral